RNAcentral lists this ribosomal RNA (507 nucleotides) under uncultured bacterium. RNAcentral's name for it is "bacterial SSU rRNA". It matches the Rfam family "Bacterial small subunit ribosomal RNA", at positions 564 to 1070 of the family's 1533-position model. The record is from RNAcentral.
AGCGCACGCAGGCGGUUGCCCAAGUCAGAUGUGAAAGCCCCGGGCUUAACCUGGGAACUGCAUUUGAAACUGGGCGACUAGAGUAUGAAAGAGGAAAGCGGAAUUUCCAGUGUAGCAGUGAAAUGCGUAGAUAUUGGAAGGAACACCGAUGGCGAAGGCAGCUUUCUGGGUCGAUACUGACGCUCAUGUGCGAAAGCGUGGGGAGCAAACAGGAUUAGAUACCCUGGUAGUCCACGCCCUAAACGAUGUCGAUUAGCUGUUGGGCAGCUUGACUGCUUAGUAGCGUAGCUAACGCGUGAAAUCGACCGCCUGGGGAGUACGGUCGCAAGAUUAAAACUCAAAGGAAUUGACGGGGACCCGCACAAGCGGUGGAUGAUGUGGAUUAAUUCGAUGCAACGCGAAGAACCUUACCUGGUCUUGACAUGUACGGAACCUUCCAGAGACGGAAGGGUGCCUUCGGGAGCCGUAACACAGGUGCUGCAUGGCUGUCGUCAGCUCGUGUCGUGA